This 474-nucleotide ribosomal RNA is filed under the name uncultured organism. RNAcentral's name for it is "partial 16S ribosomal RNA". It matches the Rfam family "Bacterial small subunit ribosomal RNA", at positions 331 to 797 of the family's 1533-position model. The record is from RNAcentral.
GUACACUCCUGCGGGAGGCAGCAGUGGGGAAUUUUGGACAAUGGGCGAAAGCCUGAUCCAGCAAUGCCGCGUGCAGGAUGAAGGCCUUCGGGUUGUAAACUGCUUUUGUACGGAACGAAAAAGCUCCUUCUAAUACAGGGGGCCCAUGACGGUACCGUAAGAAUAAGCACCGGCUAACUACGUGCCAGCAGCCGCGGUAAUACGUAGGGUGCGAGCGUUAAUCGGAAUUACUGGGCGUAAAGCGUGCGCAGGCGGUUAUGUAAGACAGAUGUGAAAUCCCCGGGCUCAACCUGGGAACUGCAUUUGUGACUGCAUGGCUAGAGUACGGUAGAGGGGGAUGGAAUUCCGCGUGUAGCAGUGAAAUGCGUAGAUAUGCGGAGGAACACCGAUGGCGAAGGCAAUCCCCUGGACCUGUACUGACGCUCAUGCACGAAAGCGUGGGGAGCAAACAGGAUUAGAUACCCUAGUAGUCCC